AUGAUGGGGGUGAGAGUGGCCACUGUCAAGGCUCUGAUGAUACUGGUUGCAGUGUUUAUUAUCUGCGCCAGCGGCGGCCUGGUUCUGUCGCCGACGGCCGCGGAGGAGGUGCCCCUGGUGCCGGCGGUGUACGUGUUCGGCGACUCUACCAUGGACGUGGGCAACAACAUGUACCUGGGGAACUUUCCGCUGCCGUAUCCCCCGUUUCCCUACGGCAUCGAUUUCACGGGUCCCGGACCCAACGGAAGGUUCAGCAAUGGAUACAACAUGGCCGACUCCAUAUCGAAGCUGUUGGGUUUCGAUAUGAGCCCGCCGCCUUUCCUGUCAUUGACGCCGGAGACAAGUGGUGAGAUCCUGAAAGGCUUGGGCGGGGUCAACUACGCUUCCGGUGGAUCCGGCAUUCUCGACACCACCCAUAAUGCCUCCCUCCCGUUGAGCAAGCAGGUAGAGUACUUCGCGGACACCAAGGCAAACAUGACAGAGGAAAGCGGCGGUAAUGGCACCGACAUCGAUGCGCUGCUGUCCAAGUCGCUCUUCCUCAUUAGCGACGGCGGCAACGAUAUGCUUGUGUUCUACGUGAAUAAUCCGCUGGGCGAUGCUCAGCCCUUCUACGACGACCUUGUGUCCAACUACACCAAGUAUGUCAAGACGUUGUAUGGGCUCGGGGCGCGGCGUUUUGGUGUCAUCGACGUGCCGCCCAUCGGCUGCGUGCCGGUGCUGCGGGCGAAACUCUUACCAUGGGGCGAGAACAACUGCUUAUUGCUCGCAAACCACCUCGCUGGGGGCUUCAACGAGAAGUUGAGCGGCGCCAUGGCGGAGCUCGCCGCGUCGCUGCCCGGGAUGAAGUACUCUGUGGGGAGCUCCUACAAGCUGGUGCUAAACUUCACGGGGCCGCCGGAGGCCGCCGGGUUCAAUAAUGUGAACAGCGCGUGCUGCGGCGGCGGGAAUCUCGGAGGGCAGGCCAUCUGCAGCUCCCCCAAUACCACCUACUGCGACAACCGCGACGACCAUCUGUUCUGGGACGGGUUGCACUGCACCCAGGCAGCCUCCAACAAGGGCGCCAAAGCCAUCUAUGACGCGCCGCUGGAGGAAGGAUUCGCCGCACCCAUCAAUUUCAAGCAGCUGCUUCUUGGUGAUCAACCCACAAGCGUCAGCCAUUAA
Molecule: ribosomal RNA, 1161 nt
Filed under: Triticum aestivum (bread wheat)
Lineage: Eukaryota; Viridiplantae; Streptophyta; Magnoliopsida; Poales; Poaceae
Description: partial small subunit ribosomal RNA
Source: RNAcentral